GGGGUUUUCAACUGAAAAAGGAAAAACAGAUUUUUUUAUACCAAUGUAUAGAAAACAUUGUUUACCAACAUACAAAUUCCCUAAAGGGUAAGUUGUCCUACAUGUUUAGCAUAUCAAAAUUAACCACACAAGUUUAUUAUUAUUUUUUCACAGAUGAACUUAUCUGUAUAUCUUUUAUAAGGAAAAAAGGGGAGGGGGUAAGCUAGAGGUCAAUAUGAAAAAAAAUACAGAGAAGAGAAAACUAGAUAUUGUGUGUGUGCGUGUGUGUGCGUGUGUGUGGCCACCAGAGGCGAUAGUUGUGUUUUUCAUGCUCCGGGUUGAGCAGCGUGUCCCGGAAACUGUAACGGGAGUGUCGUCACACGGAGUGUCGUCACACGCCAGAUUUGCUACACCGCGAGCAGUGCACAGUUUGGGUCGAGUGAAGAACAUAUUGUGGAUUACUGUUCCUGCCAUUCAACUGAUGACAGUCUGCACUCUUGUAGGAGAAGCGAGACAAAUAAAAAAGGAUUUCUUGCACCGGUCGAGCUGCAGGGACACUCGACGCUGCAUUAAAGCCGUCUUCCGUCAUCCGCCGGCGGCUUCUGGAUGCUGCAGCUGCGGUGAGAGACUUUUGGUGGCUGACAGGUAAACCACUUGCAAAGACAACUGUUUUAAGUAACUGUAGUUGAAAAGUUUAAAGCUUUCUGCUCGUCUUUUCAUCACAUGAAAUAAUGGACAUAUAAAAGAUUUUCAAUGUGAUCAGAAAUAGUUAAACAUAAUGUUUUUGACUGUAUGAUGCUUUCCUGCAUUAAAUGUUUGAAUUUAAAUUUCCGAUUUAAAAGGUCAAAUUGCAGCUACAGUCAAUAUAUUCACUAUCUUUAACCCUGAACCUAAUAAUAUUUAGAGGGACUUUUUUUUCUGAUGGUGAAUUACAUACAGUUUAUGUUUGAUAUCUGCUAUGCUACUGUUAUUAACUUUGAUGUGUCUAAACGGUGUGAAUGUCUGAUACAAGUGGUGAUAAAAAGCCAGUAUUCAUCAAAUUUGAGCUCAGAUACAAAAAAAACAGUAUAAAAACAGCUUUUCGUGAUAAACAGUAACACAAAACCAAAUCAUGUUAGCAUCCGCUGAAGAAAUCAAAAAUUCCCCAAAAAUUCAACCAGCAAGGUCCAGCUCCCAUGAACCCACAUGGCGCAUUUCCACUACAGGGUAGCGGCUGUACUCUAAUUCUUCACUAUGCGCCUUUGGUAUGGGGUACUUUUCUGGGGGUUGUUUUCCAUUAGACCAUCUCAGUGUAGCUGUUCCUCAUAGCAACGCCGUGCGACACUGCCGUGACGUCAGUUUCAAUGCGACACACACAUAUGCACAUGGUUGGAAUUACACAGUAGCUUUAGGGUGAGCUUACUGAAAGGUUGAGCCUGCCUCAGAAUCAAUUUAUUUCGUUUAUAGUUAUUAUAUUUGUUAGACUGUAGCUCACUAUCCUUUUUAUCUGUGUAAAUACAUUUAACCCUUAUGCCCCCUUCAGGCAUUUAUGUACAUUUUUCUCAACUUUUUUUUUUCUCAGCUUGUGGCAUGAAGUUUUGCAAGACCUCGUCUUUUUAGUAAAAUUUUUGAAAUUAUUGAAAUUGUAUUCUAGUCAGCAAAGACCAUACAGAACUGAUAUGUAUUUCAUUUUUAUAUUCUUCAUUUGAGUGGUCAGCGA
This is a non-coding RNA of Plectropomus leopardus (leopard coralgrouper), 1678 nucleotides long. The record is from RefSeq and is a predicted model, not a curated record. Lineage: Eukaryota; Metazoa; Chordata; Actinopteri; Perciformes; Serranidae.